CAGUCCCGCGGUAAUACGUAGGGGGCAAGCGUUAUCCGGAAUUACUGGGUGUAAAGGGAGCGUAGACGGUUAAACAAGUCUGAAGUGAAAUGCCGGGGCUCAACCCCGGAGCUGCUUUGGGAACUGUAGAACUGGAGUGUCGGAGGGGUAAGCGGAAUUCCCAGUGUAGCGGUGAAAUGCGUAGAUAUUGGGAGGAACACCGAUGGCGAAGGCAGCCCCCUGGGCCAAUACUGACGCUCAUGCACGAAAGCGUGGGGAGCAAACAGGAUUAGAUACCCGCGUAGUCCCUGUCUCUUAUACC
This 301-nucleotide ribosomal RNA is filed under the name uncultured bacterium. RNAcentral describes it as "partial 16S ribosomal RNA". It matches the Rfam family "Bacterial small subunit ribosomal RNA", at positions 512 to 808 of the family's 1533-position model. The record is from RNAcentral.